UAGUUGCCUAACUUGUCACUCUAAUUCAAUUUUCUACUGAAGUAUAGAAAAAGCAAGCUAGUACAAUAGGUAGAUGAAGGAGGAUAGGUAAUAACAAUAGGUAAAAGAAGAACAAUUAUAAUGACAUCUAGAGCCAAAAGAAAGAGUCAUUGUGCAAAUAUAAGGGAGAACAAUAAAAAUUAGAGAUAGAAAUAAUGGAAGAGGGCCACAUUAUUGGGGCAAGCAUAAAUAAAGAAAGUAAGAGGGC
Molecule: long non-coding RNA, 247 nt
Filed under: Elaeis guineensis (African oil palm)
Lineage: Eukaryota; Viridiplantae; Streptophyta; Magnoliopsida; Arecales; Arecaceae
Description: long non-coding RNA (EGUI_LNC042868)
Source: RNAcentral